RNAcentral lists this long non-coding RNA (435 nucleotides) under Vulpes vulpes (red fox). Its description in RNAcentral is "lncRNA (ENSVVUG00000003911.1)". Lineage: Eukaryota; Metazoa; Chordata; Mammalia; Carnivora; Canidae. The record is from RNAcentral.
UGAGAAGGAUGUGGACAGCAUAGAACAGUCUCUUUUACAGUCUUCUCUCUCUGUCUCUCUAGAACCUAACCAGGGAGUUAUUCUUGUCAUCCUCCGAGGCCAAAUAACCCAUAGCCUGGAGUUUGUUUGCAGAAGAGUGUCCCUCAAGUCUCACUUGCUGACUGUAGUUUAGGAGAAUGAGCAUGUGCAGAACAAUGUGGAUUAUAUCAUUAAGCAAAUUAUCAGUCCCGCAGUGGCCAACUUUCGUCCAGGAGCCAUCUGUGAGAAAAUAUAAUGGUCCCUCUGCUCUACUCCUCCACCUCAGAAGCUCUUCCUACCUGUCAGUAGACUAGAAAUAGAGCCAUAGUCUGCUGAAUUGGAGCAGCCUUUAGAAGGUAAUCUAGACUUUCGCCUCCUGCAAAUUGUCUUUGAGGUUCUGCUUAAAUUUCAAAUAGC